Molecule: long non-coding RNA, 811 nt
Organism: Triticum aestivum (bread wheat)
Lineage: Eukaryota; Viridiplantae; Streptophyta; Magnoliopsida; Poales; Poaceae
Exons: 2
Source: RefSeq, a predicted model, not a curated record
CGCCUCCGCCCUCUCCAUCACCAACAGUGGCUUCAGCGGCUCAGGUGGCUCUGGUGGCUCCGGUGAUCGCGGCGACCGCGCCCCUCCUGGCGCCCCUACCGGGCGCGGCACCAGUUGCGCCCGUGGCAACGACUCUGAUCGUGGCCGUGGUCGUGGCCGCGGUGGCUCUAGCCGAGGCCGGGGGCGUCCUGACUCCGGCGGCCGCGACUCUCAACAGGCGCUGGCGACUCCGUGGACGGGCUAUUUCGCGCCCUACGGCAUGGCUCUGCCUCCUCCCCGCCCUGGCUGGGCACAUCCCAACGUUGCGGGGGUCCUUGGCCCUCCCCCGGUGUGCACUUUCAGGUCUACCCUGUGAUGUUCUCUGGACCGGUGCCUCACGUGCCUCACGCCACACCCGCGCCUUACAUAUCGGGCCCUUCUUCAUGGGAUCACACAGCCCUCUUCAACACCGCCUCUAGCCAGCACGGCCUCCCCAACACUUGUGCAGAAUGGCUCCUCGACUCCGGCGCCUCCACCCAUGUCACUGGCAACUCUGGAAUUUCCCACCAGGAGACUCAUCAUGACGUCUAGUAGUCCCGGUCCACUUUACCCGUUUCAUGGCAACCCUACCACCAGCGGCACUGCUUUCCAUACUAUGAGUGGUGAUCUAUGGCACAGGCGGCUUGGCCAUCCUGGAAAGGCCUCGUUAGUUUCCCUUUCCAUGACUUUACUUCCCGAUUGUAAUAAUGCUCGUAGCUCCUCUUGUACUGCCAGUCAACUUGGGAGACAGCCACGUUUAUCUUUUCCUUCCGCAAAUAAUGUUACUUCUGCU